This 21-nucleotide non-coding RNA is filed under the name Caenorhabditis elegans. The record is from RNAcentral. Lineage: Eukaryota; Metazoa; Nematoda; Chromadorea; Rhabditida; Rhabditidae.
UUAAUCUUGAAUAGUAUAAUA